UGAGGAAUAGAUAGGAACGUACCCUGUGCUCUGGGAUAGCGUCUGAAGCUUCGGCUUCUUCCGAAAGGGGCGGUAAUACCAGAUAAUGUCCUUCGGGACCAAAGAUUUAUCGGCAUUGGAGCGGCCUAUCUCCUAUCAGCUUGUUGGUGAGGUAACGGCUCACCAAGGCAACGACGGGUAGCGGGACUGAGAGGUUGGCCCGCCACAUCGGGACUGAGACACUGCCCGGACCUCCACGGAGGGCUGCAGUAACGGAUAUUGGGCAAUGGGCGAAAGCCUGACCCAGCAAUGCCGCGUGCAGGAUGAAGCCCCUAGGGGUGUAAACUGCUGUCAGGGGUCAGAAAGCUGGUUUCGGCCAGUUGAUCAACCCCAGAGGAAGUCACGGCUAACUUCGUGCCAGCAGCCGCGGUAAUACGAAGGUGGCAAGCGUUAUUCGGAAUCAUUGGGCUUAAAGGGCACGCAGGCGGAACAGUGUGUGUUGUGUGAAAUCCCCCGGCUUGACCGGGGAAUUGCACAGCAAACUGCUGUUCUUGAGGCAGGUAGGGGUGCAUGGAACUCUUGGUGGAGCGGUGGAAUGCGUAGAUAUCAAGAGGAACGCCAGAGGUGAAGACGGUGCACUGGGCCUGUCCUGACGCUGAGGUGCGAAAGCGUGGGGAGCGAACGGGAUUAGAUACCCCGGUAGUCCACGCCGUAAACGAUGUCUACUAGGUCGUGGGUGUUCUGACACAUUCACGGCCGGAGCAAAAGUGUUUAGUAGACCGCCUGGGGAGUACGGCCGCAAGGUUAAAACUCAAAUGAAUUGACGGGGGCUCACACAAGCGGUGGAGCAUGUGGAUUAAUUCGAAGCAACGCGCAGAACCUUACCUGGGUUUGACAUGCUUGUAUGCCUUCUCUGAAAGGAGUUAGGCUGCCUUCGGGCGAAACUUGCACAGGUGCUGCAUGGCUGUCGUCAGCUCGUGUCAUGAGAUGUCGGGUUAAGUCCU
Molecule: ribosomal RNA, 983 nt
Filed under: uncultured organism
Description: bacterial SSU rRNA
Rfam family: Bacterial small subunit ribosomal RNA
Source: RNAcentral